AUACUUACCUGGACGGGGUCAAUGGGUGGUCAUGAAUGCCCAUGGCCUAGGUUGGUGACUUCCAUUGCACUUUGGAAGGGCGCCCGCCUAAGGUCGGCCCAAGUGGCCGAGCCUACGUCAUAAUUUGUGGCAGAGGGGGCCUGCGUUCGCGCGGCCCCUAC
Nicotiana sylvestris (wood tobacco) is the source of this 161-nucleotide non-coding RNA. NCBI's taxonomy places the organism in Eukaryota, Viridiplantae, Streptophyta, Magnoliopsida, Solanales, Solanaceae. The record is from Rfam.